Molecule: ribosomal RNA, 274 nt
Filed under: uncultured bacterium
Lineage: Bacteria
Description: partial 16S ribosomal RNA
Rfam family: Bacterial small subunit ribosomal RNA
Source: RNAcentral
AUACGGAGGGUGCAAGCGUUAUUCGGAAUCACUGGGCGUAAAGGACGCGUAGGCGGGUUGGCAAGUCAGAUGUGAAAUCCUACAGCUUAACUGUAGAACUGCAUUUGAAACUGCUAACCUAGAGUAUGUGAGGGGGAGAUGGAAUUAGUGGUGUAGGGGUAAAAUCCGUAGAUAUCACUAGGAAUACCGAAAGCGAAGGCGAUCUCCUGGAACAUAACUGACGCUAAGGCGUGAAAGCGUGGGGAGCAAACAGAAUUAGAAACCCUUGUAGUCC